AGAGACUCUGGGGACACGCCCCGCUCCCUUCCUUCCCUCCUUUACGGCUCGGCUGAGCCGCGCCUGCCUCCUGGGGCCUCUGACUUUCUCCUGCGGGAGGUUUGCUGAGCUUCUUUAAUGUGCGACGUUUCCAGCAAACCCGGGCGUGUUUCCCAUCAUCUCGUUCAGUGUUCUUCCCGGUCCCCUUCCUCCCUCCCCUCUGGGGCUUCACUGAGUGGCCUGUUCGUGCUCCAUCCUGCUUUGUGCUCAGAGGAGAGGAGAUGGUCUGCAACUCAGCCUCAAGUUCCUGACUCUUCUGUGAACGCAAGUCUGUCGCUGAACUUCAGUGACAUUUACAUUUCAAAACCUGGCAUCCAAGCCUGGUCCAGAUGAUUAUUUUGAGACGUUAGCCUGCCAUCUUCUAGGUCAGCCAGCUCUCUGAAUAAAGUUGAUGAAGUCGUAUUCCUGGCCUCAACGCGUCAUCAUCUCCCGGAUUUACUGGCCUAUCCAGUGGUGAGCAGAGUGAGCCCGGACUCAGUCACACUGCCUCUAGUGGUUUCCCUUUUGUUCAAAUCAGACCCUCUUCACAACUCCUCAGCGCUCUGGUUUUAAAGACUUGUUUUUUUCUAUUCAUGAUUAUCUUUCAGAAGAGCUGUUUUCAAAACUCAGAGUCAGAGAGGCAGAGAAAAGUCAAAUUAAGAUGGAAACUAAGGAGUAAUAUCAGUGAUCUGAUAUAGUUUUGAAAACAAAAGAAUUCACAAGUAACAAAUGCAAGUACUAUGCUGCACACACUUUUCAGAUCGCCUGGCUCCACACUGAGAAUCUGACUUUAAAAGACAGAGAAAGGAUAAAUCACAAGCGAGAUAACACAGUUUUAUUGAAUAAACACACGCACUGCCAUGUAAAAUUAGCUGAGGAAAAAGGGCAUUUUACAAUAAAAAACAAAACCAAAAAACCCUCUGCUGUGUUCUAUCUGCAGGGGGUGGUCCAGCUAGAAUGGCGUUAAAGCAACAACCAC
This is a long non-coding RNA of Dama dama (fallow deer), 997 nucleotides long. RefSeq lists it as uncharacterized. The transcript has 2 exons. The record is from RefSeq and is a predicted model, not a curated record. NCBI's taxonomy places the organism in Eukaryota, Metazoa, Chordata, Mammalia, Artiodactyla, Cervidae.